Molecule: ribosomal RNA, 392 nt
Filed under: uncultured bacterium
Lineage: Bacteria
Description: partial 16S ribosomal RNA
Rfam family: Bacterial small subunit ribosomal RNA
Source: RNAcentral
AUACGGAGGAUCCGAGCGUUAUCCGGAUUUAUUGGGUUUAAAGGGUGCGCAGGCGGCCAUUUAAGUCAGCGGUUAAAUCGUGGGGCUCAACCCCAUUCUGCCGUUGAUACUGGGUGGCUUGAUUGCGGUCGAGGUUGGCGGAAUUCGUUGUGUAGCGGUGAAAUGCAUAGAUAUGACGAAGAACACCGAUGGCGUAGGCAGCUGACCAGACCGCAAAUGACGCUCAUGCACGAAAGUGCGGGGAUCGAACAGGAUUAGAUACCCUGGUAGUCCGCACAGUAAACGAUGAAUACUUGUUUUCGGCGAUAUAAUGUCGGAGGCAAAGCGAAAGCGAUAAGUAUUCCACCUGGGGAGUACGCCGGCAACGGUGAAACUCAAAUGAAUUGGCGGGG